This 656-nucleotide ribosomal RNA is filed under the name Salmonella enterica. RNAcentral describes it as "partial 23S ribosomal RNA". It matches the Rfam family "Bacterial large subunit ribosomal RNA", at positions 1 to 688 of the family's 2925-position model. The record is from RNAcentral. RNAcentral also lists the same sequence under 1 other name. Lineage: Bacteria; Pseudomonadati; Pseudomonadota; Gammaproteobacteria; Enterobacterales; Enterobacteriaceae.
GGGUUGUGAGGUUAAGCGACUAAGCGUACACGGUGGAUGCCCUGGCAGUCAGAGGCGAUGAAGGGCGUGCUAAUCUGCGAUAAGCGCCGGUAAGGUGAUAUGAACCGUUAUAACCGGCGAUACCCGAAUGGGGAAACCCAGUGUGAUUCGUCACACUAUCAUUAACUGAAUCCAUAGGUUAAUGAGGCGAACCGGGGGAACUGAAACAUCUAAGUACCCCGAGGAAAAGAAAUCAACCGAGAUUCCCCCAGUAGCGGCGAGCGAACGGGGAGGAGCCCAGAGCCUGAAUCAGCAUGUGUGUUAGUGGAAGCGUCUGGAAAGGUGCGCGAUACAGGGUGACAGCCCCGUACACAAAAGCGCAUGUGCUGUGAGCUCGAUGAGUAGGGCGGGACACGUGGUAUCCUGUCUGAAUAUGGGGGGACCAUCCUCCAAGGCUAAAUACUCCUGACUGACCGAUAGUGAACCAGUACCGUGAGGGAAAGGCGAAAAGAACCCCGGCGAGGGGAGUGAAAAAGAACCUGAAACCGUGUACGUACAAGCAGUGGGAGCACAGGUUUACCUGUGUGACUGCGUACCUUUUGUAUAAUGGGUCAGCGACUUAUAUUCUGUAGCAAGGUUAACCGUAUAGGGGAGCCGGAGGGAAACCGAGUCUUAAC